Meriones unguiculatus (Mongolian gerbil) is the source of this 106-nucleotide small nuclear RNA. Lineage: Eukaryota; Metazoa; Chordata; Mammalia; Rodentia; Muridae. The record is from Ensembl.
AUGCUUACUUCAGCAGCACAUGUACUGAAUUGGAACAGUACAGAGAAGAUUGACACAGCCCUUGAGCAAAGAUGACAUGCAAGUUCUUGAGGUGUUUCAUAGAAAC